UCAAUAAGCGGAGGAAAAGAAAACAAUAGUGAUGCCUCUAGUAACGGCGAGUGAAGCAGGCAAAGCCCAACUUUAAAAUCUGGCGCUUUCAGCGUCCGAGUUGUAGUCUCGAGAAGCAUGGCUCGUGUCGGUCCGCGUCAAACUGGUUCGGAUGCCAGGUCAUAGAGGGUGACAAUCCCGUUGGCAACGCGGCCUCCCGAUGCAUCAGCAGUCUGCUCUCCAAGAGUCGAGUUGUUUGGGAAUGCAGCUCUAAUUAGGUGGUAAAUUCCAUCCAAGGCUAAAUAUCGGCGGGAGACCGAUAGCGAACAAGUACCGUGAGGGAAAGAUGAAAAGCACUUUGGAAAGAGAAUGAAAGAGUAUGUGAAAUUGCUGGAAGGGAAACGCUUGAAGUCAGAUACGCGCGGGGGUAUUCAGCCUGGUUCGCCGGGUGCAUUUGCCCUCAUUGCGCGCCAGCAUCGGUUCGUGGGGCCGCAGCAGCGCGGUGGGAAUGUGGCCGCCUCCGGGCGGUGUUAAGCCCGCCGUCGUGGUCGGACCCGUGGACCGAGGAUCGCAGCGCGCCGCAAGGCAGCCCUCGAGGGGGCAGAGCGCUUAGGAUGCUGGCGGAAUGGCUUUAAACGACCCGUCUUGAAACA
Molecule: ribosomal RNA, 632 nt
Filed under: Phyllozyma coprosmicola
Lineage: Eukaryota; Fungi; Basidiomycota; Spiculogloeomycetes; Spiculogloeales; Spiculogloeaceae
Description: LSU rRNA
Rfam family: Eukaryotic large subunit ribosomal RNA
Source: RNAcentral